This 321-nucleotide unclassified non-coding RNA is filed under the name Hevea brasiliensis (rubber tree). The record is from RNAcentral. Lineage: Eukaryota; Viridiplantae; Streptophyta; Magnoliopsida; Malpighiales; Euphorbiaceae.
GUGUGACCGAAUAGAACCUCGAAUAUCUUGUGAGCUUGUUAGGGGUUAUUUGGAUUUUUCACCGCAUGCGUGGAAUGUGAUCGUGGUAAAGAGGGGUGAAUCAUGGGUUCGAAUGAUAGUUGAUGCGUGUCAUCCCCUUGAUAUCAGAGAAGAGACAGAUCCAGAAUACUUUUGCAGGUAUAUUCCACUGAAUCGGAUAAAUGUUCCUGUUGUGCCAGAUGCUAGUCCUGGUCAAGUUAGUUCUUUUCCUUCUCUAACCGGUGCUGAUAAAAUUCAUAAAGCUCCCUCCUCAACCCUCGUCCAGUGUAAAUUGGGAUCCCU